Long non-coding RNA from Seriola aureovittata, 1740 nucleotides. RefSeq lists it as uncharacterized. The transcript is spliced from 3 exons. The record is from RefSeq and is a predicted model, not a curated record. Lineage: Eukaryota; Metazoa; Chordata; Actinopteri; Carangiformes; Carangidae.
CGCGCGAGCCGACCUGCGCUGAGAGGAUGUGGUCCGCCGAGGUUCAGCACGAGCGGGGAGGCAGAGGGACAGCAGGAGGAGGAAGCUAAAGCAGAGGGCGCGGGUCAUCGUGACUGAGAGGAGGGGGCCUGCAGAUACCCCUUGUGACUAAAACUACCAUGCAUAAAGACUGAGUGAGUAUUUCCUCAAACAGCCCAGUCAGACGGGACCCUGAGCGGCAUGGUUAUUGAAUGGACCAACGCUGACAUCCUCUGGACAAAAAAUGUCAGUGAUGGUGUAACUGGGUGGCAGGAUGGUGGUCCCUCCCUGACUGGUAAACCCGAACAGGAAGAGCAGACCCCCUAUUAGCUGGGCCAAAUCAGAGGGAUCUUCAAGGUCGACAGGGAGAGGUAAGAAAAAAAAAAAAGUAAAAAGGGGCGUUAAGGUUAAAAAUAUAAAUAUCAUUGCUGUGUGACAUCGUUCCAUUAUAAAGUGUGUUGCAUAUCAGAUUAAUUAAACUAGACUAGACAGGUGUCCCUACCUGUGUGUCAAUACUUAACAGCUCAGUGGGGGUGUAUGCUAGAGAGAGUGAGUUACAGGACUCUUGGAGGGCUCACAGGGCUGAGAGUAUCUGAGCGAAGCAGCUCUCUGUGGCAGAGCUCUCUCCCUUACUCUCUCUCUCUCUCUCUCUCUCUCCCUCUCCACCUCUCUAAUUACGCCAACCAAGUCGGCUCUGCCCUUACCCACAAUCUGUGGAGGCAUGAAAUAAAUACACGCUCUCCAACAAUAAACAAGUGCCUUUUCAAACGACAGCACCUCCUCAUGCUCACCCCCACUGCCGUCUCUACAGGCUUUUAUAAUGCUUUUACUUUCAUACUGGCUACAGUAGCAUGUAGGCACAAACUGUAUAGAGGACAUUCUAUAAAGUUUGCAGGACUUCUGUUGAUAGAGGUUGAUCUCAGUAGAUUGAGCAUCAAAGGCCAUCUUUGCCUUAACCUGAAGGAAUAAUAUAAGGUAAAAAUUAUAUAAAAUAGGGUUAAAAUGUAGUGUUGGCAUUAUAUACCCUAACAAACCCAGUAUCAGGGUUAUUUUCUAAACUUUAUAGACUUUAUACAAUUGUUUUCACAGGCUGAUUCUUACUCACUUUGAUGAGUAAUCUAAACUGCAUGUGUAAAAUCAGUGAAGUGUCCCUUUUAAUUUUUCAGCAUCAAGCGAUCUCCCACUUGCAUGGACUUUACAUGCACUCACAGAUGGCAUCAGGUCUCAGUUUCUCUCUAUUCAAAAUGUCAUCUGUGGCAUAAUGGUUGCUUUUUCCCACACAUCUUCAGUAAUGUUAAGUCAUGUCUCCAUCUCCCACUGGUCUGGGUGGUUACAGAUUCCCUAAUUCAACUUUCAUGCUGGCCACACAAGUGUCUGCUUCCAGUGAUGACAGGGUUACCAUACCCCCCCACCACCACCACCAAACCAAACAGACACAGAGAGAGGCACACACACACACACACACACACACACACACACACACACACACACACACACACACACACACACACACACACACACACACACACACACACACACACACACACACACACACUAAAGGGCCUGGCCUGCUUUUAUUUACUUCUUCAAGGUUUUGAGCAUGAGGAAUGAUAUAGAGCAAUGUCUUGAUUUCUGAAGAUCAAAAAAAGAUAAAUGUACAGUGGGGUCCAAAAGUCAUUGCAUAUGCUGGUUAAGUUGCUGACAUAUUUCAGUGAAAAUUUU